AUAUCUCAGUUUGGCGGCACAUAUACUAACACUGGAACGAGAUCAAGAAGAUUAAAAUGGCCCCUGCACCAGGGUGACACGUAAAUUUGUGAAACGUUCCAUAUUUUA
This is a non-coding RNA of Ictidomys tridecemlineatus (thirteen-lined ground squirrel), 108 nucleotides long. The record is from Rfam. NCBI's taxonomy places the organism in Eukaryota, Metazoa, Chordata, Mammalia, Rodentia, Sciuridae.